AGUGAACGCUGGCGGUAGGCCUAACACAUGCAAGUCGAACGGCGGCACAGUAAGAGCUUGCUCUUACGGGUGGCGAGUGGCGGACGGGUGAGGAAUACAUCGGAAUCUACUUUUUCGUGGGGGAUAACGUAGGGAAACUUACGCUAAUACCGCAUACGACCUACGGGUGAAAGCAGGGGAUCUUCGGACCUUGCGCGAUUGAAUGAGCCGAUGUCGGAUUAGCUAGUUGGCGGGGUAAAGGCCCACCAAGGCGACGAUCCGUAGCUGGUCUGAGAGGAAGAUCAGCCACACUGGAACUGAGACACGGUCCAGACUCCUACGGGAGGCAGCAGUGGGGAAUAUUGGACAAUGGGCGCAAGCCUGAUCCAGCCAUACCGCGUGGGUGAAGAAGGCCUUCGGGUUGUAAAGCCCUUUUGUUGGGAAAGAAAAGCAGCAGGUUAAUACCCCGCUGUUCUGACGGUACCCAAAGAAUAAGCACCGGCUAACUUCGUG
RNAcentral lists this ribosomal RNA (492 nucleotides) under uncultured bacterium. RNAcentral describes it as "partial 16S ribosomal RNA". It matches the Rfam family "Bacterial small subunit ribosomal RNA", at positions 29 to 507 of the family's 1533-position model. The record is from RNAcentral.